Molecule: unclassified non-coding RNA, 253 nt
Filed under: uncultured Gammaproteobacteria bacterium
Lineage: Bacteria; Pseudomonadati; Pseudomonadota; Gammaproteobacteria
Description: contains 16S-23S intergenic spacer region
Rfam family: Bacterial small subunit ribosomal RNA
Source: RNAcentral
UACAGAGGGUGCAAGCGUUAAUCGGAAUUACUGGGCGUAAAGCGUGCGUAGGUGGUUUGUUAAGUCAGGUGUGAAAUCCCCAGGCUCAACCUGGGAACUGCAUUUGAUACUGGCAAGCUAGAGUGUGGUAGAGGAUAGUGGAAUUCCCGGUGUAGCGGUGAAAUGCGUAGAUAUCGGGAGGAACAUCAGUGGCGAAGGCGGCUAUCUGGACUAACACUGACACUGAGGCACGAAAGCGUGGGGAGCAAACAGG